GAAGCACAACUAGAGCCAAUGAUGUUAUUGGAUCCCACUGAUUGUUUUCCUGACCGAGAAAGAUGUGUUGUGCAUUCUGUACGCUACAUGAUGCAAAUAUUUUCAUUAAAGUUGGCUAAAGUUCCUGUGAACACAAGCUCGGUACAACUAUAUGGAUGUAUAGCUGCGCGAGAUUGUCUGGAUUCAUUGCUAAAUUAUAUUGUCAAUCGUAGCAGGGACGAUCCCAUUACAGUGCAUCAGGGCUCUCUCAUUGAGAUGACUGGCCCUAAGAGGGGAAUCACAAUGACCUCUCCUGUUCUAGUUGAGUUUGACAUGAGGAUCAGGAAAGGAGAGCAAGAAGAAGAUGAUCUACAAUUAAUUGACGGUGCAAUAGACUGCGAACUAACCACACCUUCCCGUCCAUCCACUAACCGCAUUAAUGGCGAUUGUGGAGCAGUUGACAUCACUUUGGCCCGCGUUCCCGGUGCGGUGGAGGCCACUAUAGAUGUUAUUAUAUCAAAAGUGCAGAGCGGAUUCAGUUUAUCUCUGAGCUCGUUUGUGUUUGCCGGUGGGUCACAUGAGGGAAUCGAACUCUUUUGUGGUACUAUCGGUGAGUCAUGUGGCUUAACAAGAAGAUAUGUGAUUGCUGUACAGAUGGGUAGUUGGAUGCAUUUGAAGUUCAAUGUAGGUCAGAAAGGCUCUGAAUAUGAUGAUCUGGAACGCUAUUGCCGCUUCAAAGCAGACAUCCAUGGGUGUGACUGUCGACAAAUAAUACUUGAGCAUGCAUCAAUCUCGCUGAAGGUGACUUGGUUGAUUGUGCGAUAA
Molecule: ribosomal RNA, 804 nt
Filed under: Triticum aestivum (bread wheat)
Lineage: Eukaryota; Viridiplantae; Streptophyta; Magnoliopsida; Poales; Poaceae
Description: partial small subunit ribosomal RNA
Source: RNAcentral